RNAcentral lists this ribosomal RNA (700 nucleotides) under uncultured bacterium. RNAcentral's name for it is "bacterial SSU rRNA". It matches the Rfam family "Bacterial small subunit ribosomal RNA", at positions 40 to 734 of the family's 1533-position model. The record is from RNAcentral.
CGGUGGCUACCAUGCAGUCGAACGGCAGCACAGGAGAGCUUGCUCUCUGGGUGGCGAGUGGCGGACGGGUGAGGAAUACAUCGGAAUCUACUCUGUCGUGGGGGAUAACGUAGGGAAACUUACGCUAAUACCGCAUACGACCUACGGGUGAAAGUGGGGGACCGCAAGGCCUCACGCGAUUGAAUGAGCCGAUGUCGGAUUAGCUAGUUGGCGGGGUAAAGGCCCACCAAGGCGACGAUCCGUAGCUGGUCUGAGAGGAUGAUCAGCCACACUGGAACUGAGACACGGUCCAGACUCCUACGGGAGGCAGCAGUGGGGAAUAUUGGACAAUGGGCGCAAGCCUGAUCCAGCCAUACCGCGUGAGUGAAGAAGGCCCUCGGGUUGUAAAGCUCUUUUGUUGGGAAAGAAAUCCUGUUGGCUAAUACCCGGCGGGGAUGACGGUACCCAAAGAAUAAGCACCGGCUAACUUCGUGCCAGCAGCCGCGGUAAUACGAAGGGUGCAAGCGUUACUCGGAAUUACUGGGCGUAAAGCGUGCGUAGGUGGUUGCUUAAGUCUGUCGUGAAAGCCCUGGGCUCAACCUGGGAAUUGCGAUGGAUACUGGGCGACUAGAGUGUGGUAGAGGGUGGCGGAAUUCCCGGUGUAGCAGUGAAAUGCGUAGAGAUCGGGAGGAACAUCCGUGGCGAAGGCGGCCACCUGGGC